CACGCCGGAAGAUCAAGGGUUCCAGUCCAACGUUAAUCGGGGCUGGGUGAGUCGACCCCUAAGGCGAGGCCGAAAGGCGUAGUCGAUGGGAAAUCGGUUAAUAUUCCGAUACUUGUUUAUGAUGUGAUGGAGGGACGGAGAAGGUUAUGCCAGCCUGGCGAUGGUUGUCCAGGUGGAAGGAUGUAGGUAGACGGCUUAGG
RNAcentral lists this ribosomal RNA (200 nucleotides) under Psychrobacter sanguinis. RNAcentral describes it as "partial 23S ribosomal RNA". It matches the Rfam family "Bacterial large subunit ribosomal RNA", at positions 1335 to 1536 of the family's 2925-position model. The record is from RNAcentral. Lineage: Bacteria; Pseudomonadati; Pseudomonadota; Gammaproteobacteria; Moraxellales; Moraxellaceae.